ACGCUCGACACCUACAGGAGGCAGCAGUAGGGAAUCUUCCACAAUGGGCGCAAGCCUGAUGGAGCAACACCGCGUGAGUGAAGAAGGGUUUCGGCUCGUAAAGCUCUGUUGUUGGAGAAGAACGUGCGUGAGAGUAACUGUUCACGCAGUGACGGUAUCCAACCAGAAAGUCACGGCUAACUACGUGCCAGUAGCCGCGGUAAUCUGAGCGGGCUGGCAAGGC
RNAcentral lists this ribosomal RNA (223 nucleotides) under uncultured bacterium. RNAcentral's name for it is "partial 16S ribosomal RNA". It matches the Rfam family "Bacterial small subunit ribosomal RNA", at positions 328 to 539 of the family's 1533-position model. The record is from RNAcentral.